Molecule: ribosomal RNA, 468 nt
Filed under: uncultured bacterium
Lineage: Bacteria
Description: partial 16S ribosomal RNA
Rfam family: Bacterial small subunit ribosomal RNA
Source: RNAcentral
GACGAACGCUGGCGGCGUGCUUAACACAUGCAAGUCGAACGGAAAGGCCCUGCUUUUGGGGGGUGCUCUAGUUGCGAACUGGUGAGUAACACGUGGGUAACCUGCCCUUGACUUUGGGAUAACUUCAGGAAACUUGGUCUAAUACCGGAUAGGAUCUCCUGCUGCAUGGUGGGGGUUGGAAAGUUUCGCCGGUUGGUGAUGUACUGGCGGCUUAUCAGCUUGUUGGUGGGGUAGUGGAUUACCAUGGCUUUGACGGGUAGCAUGCCUGAGCGGGUGACCGGACAAAUUAGGCCUGGAAUGAGACCCGGCCCACUACGGGAGGCAGCGGUGGGGAGUAUUGCACAAUAGGAGGAGGCCUAAUGCAGUCACGCAGCGUGGGGGAUGAGAGCAAGCGGGUUGUAUUCUGAUUUCGCCUGUGCCGAAGUGUGAAUGACAGUAAUGGGUAAAGAAGCACCGGCUAACUCCGUG